GAUGAACGCUGGCGGCGUGCCUAAUACAUGCAAGUCGAACGCACAGCGAAAGGUGCUUGCACCUUUCAAGUGAGUGGCGAACGGGUGAGUAACACGUGGACAACCUGCCUCAAGGCCGGGGAUAACAUUUGGAAACAGAUGCUAAUACCGAAUAAAACUCAGUGUCGCAUGACACAAAGUUAAAAGGCGCUUUGGCGUCACCUAGAGAUGGAUCCGCGGUGCAUUAGUUAGUUGGUGGGGUAAAGGCCUACCAAGACAAUGAUGCAUAGCCGAGUUGAGAGACUGAUCGGCCAAAUUGGGACUGAGACACGGCCCAAACUCCUACGGGAGGCUGCAGUAGGGAAUCUUCCACAAUGGGCGAGAGCCUGAUGGAGCAACGCCGCGUGUGUGAUGAAGGCUUUCGGGUCGUAAAGCACUGUUGUAUGGGAAGAACAGCUAGAAUAGGGAAUGAUUUUAGUUUGACGGUACCAUACCAGAAAGGGACGGCUAAAUACGUGCCAGCCGCCGCAGUAA
RNAcentral lists this ribosomal RNA (513 nucleotides) under uncultured bacterium. RNAcentral describes it as "partial 16S ribosomal RNA". It matches the Rfam family "Bacterial small subunit ribosomal RNA", at positions 28 to 523 of the family's 1533-position model. The record is from RNAcentral.